UCACGCCUGUAAUCCCAGCACUUUGGGAGGCAGAGGCGGGCGGAUCACGAGGUCAGGAGAUCGAGACCAUCCUGGCUAACACAGUGAAACCCCGUCUCUACUAAAAAUACAAAAAAUUAGCCGGGCGAGGUGGCGGGCGCCUGUAGUCCCAGCUACUCGGGAGGCUGAGGCAGGAGAAUGGCGUGAACCCCGGGGGGGCGGAGCCUGCAGUGACCCGAGAUCACGCCACUGCACUCCAGCCUGGGUGACAGCGAGACUCUGUCUCAAAAAAAAAAAAAAAAAAAAAAAAAAAAAAAAGAGAAAAGAUACAAAGAGAUGAAAUGACUCCUCAAGAUCACAGAGAUCCGGGCUAAGAAGGCUGCUUCAGGUUAAAAAUUGUCUCCAAGGAAGCUCGUGCACAUAACCCACAGAAAGCCCCAAAGAUGAUAUAAUAGAGUCAACUAUGCAGAAGAUGCAAGUUCAAGGAAGAAGAGGUACAAAGAACAUAAAUAGAAGCAAAGACAUGAAAGACAAGAAGAGAAUUCAGGCUAUCAGAAAAAAAUUCUGAACAUGGCUCUCUCCCACUGUGAAUCAACCUGUAAAGGGAGGCUUAAAAAACAAGAUUGCUACUGAGGACAUAUAUCAAGAUAGCGUUUGGGACAUGCUUUAAUGUGGGCCCAGUCAAAAGAGGACAUAGUCACAGAUCAGACAGUUUGGUAAAUGUGGCACUGACUCCAUGGCAGUCUAGAGAGGAUGAUGUUUCUCUCUCUUUGGUAGCAGCUCAUAGAAUAUAGCUGUUUAGAAUUAAGAAGCGGUGGGCCGGGUGCGGUGGCUCACGCUUGUAAUCCCAGCACUUUGGGAGGCCGAGGCGGGCAGAUCACGAGGUCAGGAGAUCGAGACCACGGCGAAACCCCGUCUCUACUAAAAAUACAAAAAAUUAGCCGGGCGUGGUGGCGGGUGCCUGUAGUCCCAGCUACUCGGAGAGGCUGAGGCAGGAGAAUGGCGUGAACCCAGGAGGCGGAGUUUGCAGUGAGCCGAGACUGCGCCACUGCACUCCAGCCUGGGUGACAGAGCGAGACUCCGUCUCAAAAAAAAAAAAGAA
Symphalangus syndactylus (siamang) is the source of this 1081-nucleotide long non-coding RNA. RefSeq lists it as uncharacterized. The record is from RefSeq and is a predicted model, not a curated record. Lineage: Eukaryota; Metazoa; Chordata; Mammalia; Primates; Hylobatidae.